GCAACACAAAGCUAAGACAGGCUACUUACAUCUCACAGCUCCACUAUCUCCUGGGAACUUGGAGUCCUCAGGUUCUAGCUGUGGAAAGAGAAAAAAAAGAUGGAGAAGGCACACAUGCUUCUUAAUCAUAGCGGUUCAGAGGUAACGAAUAUUAAUUUUGUAUAUUCUACUGGCCCAACCCAGAGGCACCAGUGUGCUGGGAAUGGAGUCUCUGAUUGGGCAGCAAAGAUCAGAGAUCAAAGAUCAGGAGAGAUUUCAGGACGAAUAUUUUACUAGGUGAGGAGGACCAUGGAUUUUGACAAACAGCCUUUGCUGCUCUACCCAUGCCUCAUCGCCACUGUUAGACACAAACAGAAAUGGCAGCACUUUUUGUUCAUUGAUUGCAACUCUUUCUUUAAAGACUUUUAAGGCAGAAUCCUAAGUCAUCUCUUCUGUGAAAUUUUCACGAUUCAAAGGGAAGUCCCUGCAUGGGCACUGCCAGCUUCGUUGCGCUUCUGCCUCCAUGCUUUCUCCUGAACCUCCUCCACCUCUGAACGUACUUCAGGCUGCACAGGAAGUAUGGCUGCAGAGGUCUCAGGAAACCGACAAUUACCAGUGGAAGGUGAAGAGGAAGGAGGUACAUCUUACAUGGCCAGAGAAGGAGGAAGAGAAAGAAGGAGGAGGUCCCAUACCCUUCUAAACGACUACAUGACUGAGAACUCACUGUCAUGAGAGUAACAAGGGGAAAAUCUGCCCCCAGGAGCCAAUCACCUCCCACAAGUCCCCUCCGACAACAAUGGGGAUUACAAUUUACCAUGAGAUUUGCUUUGGGACACAGAGCUAAACCAUGUGAGUAGGUGACUAGUUAGUAGGUUUUUUUUUUUACACAAAAGCUAGUGUUGACAUAAAUUAUCGUAGCGUCAAAGAUACUUAGAGAUAAACCUAU
Long non-coding RNA from Sapajus apella (tufted capuchin), 925 nucleotides. RefSeq lists it as uncharacterized. NCBI's taxonomy places the organism in Eukaryota, Metazoa, Chordata, Mammalia, Primates, Cebidae. The transcript is spliced from 2 exons. The record is from RefSeq and is a predicted model, not a curated record.